Molecule: ribosomal RNA, 360 nt
Filed under: Triticum aestivum (bread wheat)
Lineage: Eukaryota; Viridiplantae; Streptophyta; Magnoliopsida; Poales; Poaceae
Description: partial small subunit ribosomal RNA
Source: RNAcentral
AUGGCAGAACAGGAAACCCCUGACACUGUGGUGGAACCAUCUUUCUGUGGUUCUUACACCGAAUCUGAGCCGACGUGCAUGAUGCAUCAUCAAAGGCCGAAGAAGAUGGUGGCUUUUGAAGGUUCUUUGACUGGCAGGCGUUUCCUGGGUUGUCCUAUGCAGCAGGAUGAAGGUGUGAACUGUGGGGUUGUGGAGUGGGUGGAUGGUCCUUGGCCAGAGAUUCUACAAAGGUGCCUAACCAGGAUUUGGGACAUGUAUCAUGAGCAGAACUUGGGCAGGGUGAAUGACAAACAAGCCCAUGAGAAAGAGGUGGCCAAGCUACAGAAGGAAAUUGAUUUCCUGUCAAACAACUACAGCUAG